AAAUCCUCGGCUAACGGGUAUUUUCCGCGUUCCCGAACACCCUCGUUUCGACCGCGGGAUUCCUCAUUUCGACGUGGAGAGUGCGCGAGAGUGGUAGUGCACGAGGGGAUCGCGAUCUCUCGCCUUUUCGCAACGAGGCACCGCCACCGUGCCUCGGUGAGAGCGCCGUGGAAGAUAUACGUGUGCGCGCACGUGCCUUUAUGUAAAAGGCCCAAGUAUAUGGUUACGCACGCGCCUACGUGCGGGUUGCGCUUACGGUUAUGAAGACGACGACGACGACGACGACGACGACGUUUCGAAUUAUUAUUGCAUACCCGGCGGAAUGUAAUGUCUGUCGUGGAUCUAACAAUGUAACAGUCAGAUGAAUAACACAGAGUGGCACCGUUAAAAACUCACAUGAUACAGCAAACCUUCAGAGUCCUUAAGAAUAAUAUAUAAUAAAAUUUUUAUGUUAAGUUUUAUCCCAUAGUUGCAAUUUUAAACUGCAUUUAGGAUAAGUGGAUAUGUUAUUAUAACUAUUGAAUCGAAUACGGUAAUUUUUUAUAACAAUUAAUAUUAAUAAUUUUUUUAUUGUCUAUUGUAUAAUCCCUUUUAGCAAGUGAUAUAUACUUUGUAAAAUUUACAUAUAAUAUAAUGCAAGCAAAAGUGCAUUAUCUCCAUCUUGUGAAAAGCA
This is a long non-coding RNA of Wasmannia auropunctata (little fire ant), 673 nucleotides long. RefSeq lists it as uncharacterized. The transcript has 2 exons. NCBI's taxonomy places the organism in Eukaryota, Metazoa, Arthropoda, Insecta, Hymenoptera, Formicidae. The record is from RefSeq and is a predicted model, not a curated record.